CCCUGGCAGUCAGAGGCGAUGAAGGACGUGCUAAUCUGCGAAAAGCGUCGGUAAGGUGAUAUGAACCGUUAUAACCGGCGAUGUCCGAAUGGGGAAACCCAGUGCAAUUCGUUGCACUAUCGUUAACUGAAUACAUAGGUUAACGAGGCGAACCGGGGGAACUGAAACAUCUAAGUACCCCGAGGAAAAGAAAUCAACCGAGAUUCCCCCAGUAGCGGCGAGCGAACGGGGAGCAGCCCAGAGUCUGAAUCAGCUUGUGUGUUAGUGGAACGGUCUGGAAAGUCCGACGGUACAGGGU
Molecule: ribosomal RNA, 298 nt
Filed under: Pseudomonas aeruginosa
Lineage: Bacteria; Pseudomonadati; Pseudomonadota; Gammaproteobacteria; Pseudomonadales; Pseudomonadaceae
Description: partial 23S ribosomal RNA
Rfam family: Bacterial large subunit ribosomal RNA
Source: RNAcentral